Molecule: unclassified non-coding RNA, 430 nt
Filed under: soil metagenome
Description: partial contains 5.8S ribosomal RNA, internal transcribed spacer 2, and large subunit ribosomal RNA
Rfam family: 5.8S ribosomal RNA (bases 1-120)
Source: RNAcentral
GAUGAAGAACGCAGCGAAAUGCGAUACGUAAUGUGAAUUGCAGAAUUCAGUUAAUCAUCGAAUCUUUGAACGCAUAUUGCGCUCUCUGGUAUUCCGGAGAGCAUGCUUGUUUGAGUAUCAGUAAACACCUCAACUCCCUUUUCUUUUUUGAAAUUGGAGCUGGACUUGAGUGAUCCCAACGCUUUCUUCCAAGAAAGUGGCGGGUUGCUUGAAAUGCAGGUGCAGCUGAACUUUUCUCUGAGCUAUAAGCAUAUCUAUUUAGUCUGCCUAAAAAACAGAUUAUUACCUUUGCUGCAGCUAACAUAAAGGAGACUAGUUCUUGUGCUGACUGAUGCAGGAUUCACAGAGACAGCUUCGGCUGACUUUGUAAACUCGAUCUCAAAUCAAGUAAGACUACCCGCUGAACUUAAGCAUAUCAAUAAGCGGAGGA